This 236-nucleotide non-coding RNA is filed under the name Eubacterium sp. Its description in RNAcentral is "T-box sequence". It matches the Rfam family "T-box leader". Rfam says of the family: Uncharged tRNA acts as the effector for transcription antitermination of genes in the T-box leader family. The record is from RNAcentral. Lineage: Bacteria; Bacillati; Bacillota; Clostridia; Eubacteriales; Eubacteriaceae.
CGAAAAGCUGUGACAAGAAACAGUAGGCACAUCUGAUUUUCCAGAGAAACGGCGGUAGGUGCGAGCCGUUAUUGAAGAUAUGCCGAACCCGUCUUUGAGCUGCGCCCGGAACCCGGAAUCCCCGGCAGUAAGCGGCGCCGGAACUCACCGUUAAAUGAGGAGCGUUGUAUGACGUGAAGCGCGGGAUGACCCCGAAUUCAGGUGGUAACACGGACUUUGUACAGUUCGCCCUGAGC